CAGAGUUCAGAGGUAUCCAAAUCAUCAACUGCUAAGCUAAGGGUGACAAGUUGAGCACAAUCAUCCUGUAGCAAUGUGGUGAUGUCCAAGCCUUCCACUAGAAUCUUCAUUGAUGUGCAAGCUUAGAAAUAGAUUCUCCUAAGGACAUGGGUCCCCACAAUGGAACCUGAACUCUGAGGCAGACUGAGCAUACAUGGCCUCCCUCCUGCUCCGACCGGGAGAAGCACCUGCUCCUGUUCUCUGUCCACUUACCUGGUGACACACAGCACAGGCUCUGUAGACACUUCAAGAGAUAUCACUGCUGCCAUCCUUGGUCAAGUAAACUUCUACAUGCAGUGGGCACCAGUUACUACAGAGACUCACAACUGGUCAAAAAAUACUGUGAAAAUGAGACUGCUGAACACUCACCUAUAAAAGUGAUAUCUAAUAUCCCCUCCAAUCUCAGGGAAUAUUACAGAAAAGGGGCUGAAAUGAUGUAAGAACAGGAGGAAGAGGGAAGAGUGCUGUGAAUGCUGUCCUCCAAGAAUGACAUGCCAUUGCCUUUUUGAACUUUCAGGAGCCAUGAUUACCUGUAUGAGAUUCACAGAAUAUUGGGCCCAUUAAUGUCUGUCAUGAAGAAAGAAGGACUGACCCCUUCCUGAAUAAAUAA
Molecule: non-coding RNA, 649 nt
Organism: Peromyscus maniculatus bairdii (prairie deer mouse)
Lineage: Eukaryota; Metazoa; Chordata; Mammalia; Rodentia; Cricetidae
Source: RefSeq, a predicted model, not a curated record